RNAcentral lists this small RNA (744 nucleotides) under Pan troglodytes (chimpanzee). RNAcentral's name for it is "retained intron". The record is from RNAcentral. Lineage: Eukaryota; Metazoa; Chordata; Mammalia; Primates; Hominidae.
GAGCCGCGGCACCCCGGCUUCGUGCUGGGGCUGGAUGUGGGCAGUUCUGUGAUCCGCUGCCACGUCUAUGACCGGGCGGCGCGGGUCUGCGGCUCCAGCGUGCAGAAGGUAGAAAAUCUUUAUCCUCAAAUUGGCUGGGUAGAAAUUGAUCCUGAUGUUCUUUGGAUUCAAUUUGUUGCCGUAAUAAAAGAAGCAGUCAAAGCUGCAGGAAUACAGAUGAAUCAAAUUGUUGGUCUUGGCAUUUCAACACAGAGAGCAACUUUUAUUACGUGGAACAAGAAAACAGGAAAUCAUUUUCACAACUUUAUAAGUUGGCAAGACUUAAGAGCUGUUGAACUUGUAAAAUCUUGGAAUAAUUCUCUUCUUAUGAAGAUAUUUCACAGUUCUUGCCGAGUGCUUCACUUUUUCACUAGAAGUAAACGACUUUUUACAGCCAGUUUGUUCACUUUCACAACCCAGCAGACUUCUUUGAGAUUGGUCUGGAUUUUACAGAACCUGACUGAGGUGCAAAAGGCAGUUGAAGAAGAAAAUUGCUGCUUUGGGACUAUUGAUACCUGGUUGUUAUAUAAGCUCACAAAAGGUUCUGUAUAUGCCACAGAUUUUUCAAAUGCUAGUACAACUGGACUUUUUGACCCAUAUAAGAUGUGUUGGAGUGGGAUGAUUACCUCUCUAAUUUCGAUACCACUUUCUCUCCUACCUCCCGUGAGGGACACAAGGUAAUAAUAAACAUCAGACAUAGUAACC